GCCACGCCCCCUCCCCGGAACCGGCUGCCGGUGUGCAGGAGCUGCUGUGAGCCGAGGGAGGAGCGGAGGCGUCGCCGGGCUGCGGCUGCACGGAGGGAGAAGGCCGCGCUGAGGACGUGGUUGCCCGUCCCUCCCUUGGGGAUGCCGUCGACUGCACCCGCCUCGCCUGUGCCUGGCCUGGCUCGCCUCGUGGCGUGGGGGCGAAAAGGGACAGGCGGCGGAGCGCUUACCGGCCGUGGACAGGAGCUGCCCUAAGGGAAGCUGGAAUGGCCAGAGAAAGGUGAAGAAGAAGAAGAAGAAGAAGAAGAGAUGGAAGGCUCUCCGGCCGGCAGCUGCCUCCCGCUGCAGGCAAGAGAGCGCCUGCCUCGCCGCGCGGAGGACAGCCGAGCGACCGGAGUGACAGCAAAGGAAAGGCGGAGAGCAGGAGAAAGAAGCGUCUGCGCUGGCAAGCUCUCCCGGCAGCGCCGAGAGCCAGAGCUGCGGUGCUGCUGCGCCGAUGCUCCGUACGUUCGCAGUAACGGGUAGAGCGGAAGGCUCCGUGGCCAGGGAAGAGCGGCACGGACACGUUCCUGCUCGCUCCGUUGCACCGGAAUUUCGACGGCUGGGUUCGGCCGCUAAAUUGAUGGCGCUACCGGAAGAAAUUUCAGAAAAGCCGCGCUGAGGACGUGGUUGCCCGUCCCUCCCUUGGGGAUGCCGUCGACUGCACCCGCCUCGCCUGUGCCUGGCCUGGCUCGCCUCGUGGCGUGGGGGCGAAAAGGGACAGGCGGCGGAGCGCUUACCGGCCGUGGACAGGAGCUGCCCUAAGGGAAGCUGGAAUGGCCAGAGAAAGGUGAAGAAGAAGAAGAAGAAGAAGAGAUGGAAGGCUCUCCGGCCGGCAGCUGCCUCCCGCUGCAGGCAAGAGAGCGCCUGCCUCGCCGCGCGGAGGACAGCCGAGCGACCGGAGUGACAGCAAAGGAAAGGCGGAGAGCAGGAGAAAGAAGCGUCUGCGCUGGCAAGCUCUCCCGGCAGCGCCGAGAGCCAGAGCUGCGGUGCUGCUGCGCCGAUGCUCCGUACGUUCGCAGUAACGGGUAGAGCGGAAGGCUCCGUGGCCAGGGAAGAGCGGCACGGACACGUUCCUGCUCGCUCCGUUGCACCGGAAUUUCGACGGCUGGGUUCGGCCGCUAAAUUGAUGGCGCUACCGGAAGAAAUUUCAGAAAAGCCGCGCUGAGGACGUGGUUGCCCGUCCCUCCCUUGGGGAUGCCGUCGACUGCACCCGCCUCGCCUGUGCCUGGCCUGGCUCGCCUCGUGGCGUGGGGGCGAAAAGGGACAGGCGGCGGAGCGCUUACCGGCCGUGGACAGGAGCUGCCCUAAGGGAAGCUGGAAUGGCCAGAGAAAGGUGAAGAAGAAGAAGAAGAAGAAGAGAUGGAAGGCUCUCCGGCCGGCAGCUGCCUCCCGCUGCAGGCAAGAGAGCGCCUGCCUCGCCGCGCGGAGGACAGCCGAGCGACCGGAGUGACAGCAAAGGAAAGGCGGAGAGCAGGAGAAAGAAGCGUCUGCGCUGGCAAGCUCUCCCGGCAGCGCCGAGAGCCAGAGCUGCGGUGCUGCUGCGCCGAUGCUCCGUACGUUCGCAGUAACGGGUAGAGCGGAAGGCUCCGUGGCCAGGGAAGAGCGGCACGGACACGUUCCUGCUCGCUCCGUUGCACCGGAAUUUCGACGGCUGGGUUCGGCCGCUAAAUUGAUGGCGCUACCGGAAGAAAUUUCAGAAAAAAAGGGUGGCUUUUUCGUCGAUCUCUUUGUGAGAGUAUCAAAUCAGGCGGCGGUAAAUACGUAGAAGCAACUAGGCGUACUACGGCGUGUACCGGACAGCGUUGGCGUGCCGCUCUGCUAGCAGCGGAGAGCCAGAUGAGGAUGCCCGUGGUAAGUACUCGUUCUGCCUCCGGCUGAACGGAAAGAUUCUCAUGUUGAGGGUUCCUGGGCUUGUCUGUGUGAUUAGCAUUACUUUUUUUUUUUUUUUUUUUUUUUUUUUAUAUGAAACAGGGUCAGAUAAGUGUUGAUGAGUGGGACUUUGCGUACUCCUUUAGGUAGUUUUUCGUACUGAACCUUAGAUCGGUUACAAAACUUAAUCUUUGUGCAGUUUACACAUUUUGUAGCAACUACAAAGACAUUUAUCCUGUAGGUAAGCUGAAAAUAAAAAUGCGGUU
Molecule: long non-coding RNA, 2177 nt
Organism: Grus americana (Whooping crane)
Lineage: Eukaryota; Metazoa; Chordata; Aves; Gruiformes; Gruidae
Exons: 11
Source: RefSeq, a predicted model, not a curated record